UUAAGAAACAAAGAGCGCACGGUGGAUGCCUUGGCACUAAUAGGCGAAGAAGGACGCGACUAACAGCGAAAUGCUACGGGGAGCAGUAAGUACGCAGAGAUCCGUAGAUGUCCGAAUGGGGGAACCCACUAGUUUGAAGAACUAGUAUCAUAUAGUGAAUACAUAGCUAUAUGAGGCAAACCUGGAGAAUUGAAACAUCUUAGUACCCAGAGGAAAAGAAAAUAAAUAAUGAUUCCCUAAGUAGAGGCGAUUGAAAGGGGAAGAGCCCAGCACCAUCAAGAGUUACAAAAUCUUUUUAUAGUAGAAUUGUAUUGGAAAAGCAAGUCAAAGAAGGUGAAAGCCCUGUAUACGAAAUAAAGAGAUCUCGGUGUGAGAGUAGGGCGGAGCACGUGAAAUUCUGUCUGAAUAUGCGAGGACCAUCUCGUAAGGCUAAAUACUCAUUAGUGACCGAUAGUGAACCAGUACUGUGAAGGAAAGGUGAAAAGAACCCCUGGCGGGGAGUGAAAAGAACCUGAAACCGUGUGCUUACAAACAGUUAGAGCCCAUCAAUGGGUGAUAGCGUGCCUUUUGUAGAAUGAGCCGGCGAGUUACGUUAAUUUGCAAGGUUAAGCUUUUAGGAGUGGAGCCGUAGCGAAAGCAAGUCUUAAUAGGGCGAAUAAGUAGAUUGACGUAUACCCGAAACCGGGUGAUCUAGCCAUGAGCAGGUUGAAGCUUGGGUAAAACCAGGUGGAGGACCGAACCAGGGUCUGUUGAAAAAGACUUGGAUGACUUGUGGCUAGGGGUGAAAUUCCAAUCGAACCCGGAGAUAGCUGGUUCUCCCCGAAAUAGCUUUAGGGCUAGCGUUGUGAGAAGAGUUAUACGAAGGUAGAGCACUGAAUGGGUGAGGGCCGCACCUCGCGGUACCAAUCUCAAUCAAACUCCGAAUGUCGUAUAAUAUGCGCAGCAGUAAGACUAUGGGUGAUAAGGUCCAUGGUCAAAAGGGAAACAGCCCAGACCGCCAGUUAAGGUCCCAAAAUUAUGCUAAGUGGGAAAGGAGGUGGAGUCGCUUAAACAACUAGGAGGUUGGCUCAGAAGCAGCCAUCCUUUAAAGAGUGCGUAAUAGCUCACUAGUCGAGUGAUUCUGCGCCGAAAAUGUAUCGGGGCUAAGCAUAAUACCGAAGCUGCGGGAUUAGAUGAAGAAUCUAAUCGGUAGGGGAGCGUACUAAGUGCGUAGAAGGUUGACCGGAAGGGCAGCUGGAGCGCUUAGCAGUGAGUAUGCCGGUGUGAGUAGCGAUAAGAUGGGUGAGAAUCCCAUCCGUCGAAAGCCUAAGGUUUCCAGGGGUAAGGCUCGUCCUCCCUGGGUAAGUCGGGUCCUAAGGUGAGGCUGAGAAGCGUAGCUGAUGGACAUCAGGUUGAUAUUCCUGAACCACCAUAAAACUGAAGGAAUGACGGAGGAGGCUAAUCAGAGCUGAUUAAUGGAUUUCAGUUUAAGUACAAAGAGGGUUACGUAGGCAAAUCCGCGUAGCAAAACCUUGAAGUAUGAUGACGUAAGUCUGGUGAAGCCACACUUCCAAGAAAAGUUUCUAGGUGUAUUUUAUGGUGCCCGUACCGUAAACGGACACACGUAGGCGAGGAGAGAAUCCAAAGACGCGCGAGAUAAUUCUUGUUAAGGAACUCUGCAAAAUUACUCUGUAACUUCGGAAUAAAGAGGGCUCCCGUGAGGGAGACGCAGAAAAUAGGCCCAAGCGACUGUUUAACAAAAACAUAGGUUUCUGCUAAAGCGUAAGCUGAUGUAUAGGAGCUGACGCCUGCCCAGUGCUGGAAGGUUAAGAGGAGAAGUUAGUCGCAAGUCGAAGCUUUGAAUUGAAGCCCCAGUAAACGGCGGCCGUAACUAUAACGGUCCUAAGGUAGCGAAAUUCCUUGUCAGGUAAGUUCUGACCCGCACGAAAGGCGUAACGAUUUGGGCGCUGUCUCAACAAGAAACUCGGUGAAAUCAUAGUCACUGUGAAGAUGCAGGUUACCCGCGAUCAGACGGAAAGACCCCAUGGAGCUUCACUGCAACUUAAUAUUGAUAUUGGGUGUGUGAUGUACAGGAUAGGUGGGAGACAAAGAAGCGAGUACGCUAGUAUUCGUGGAGUCAACCUUGGGAUACCACCCCUCGCACAUUUAGUAUCUAACUAGUUUCCAUAAGCUGGGAAUAGAACAGUGUUAGGUGGGCAGUUUGACUGGGGCGGUCGCC
This 2218-nucleotide ribosomal RNA is filed under the name human gut metagenome. RNAcentral describes it as "bacterial LSU rRNA". It matches the Rfam family "Bacterial large subunit ribosomal RNA", at positions 1 to 2287 of the family's 2925-position model. The record is from RNAcentral.